Molecule: long non-coding RNA, 3711 nt
Filed under: Sus scrofa (pig)
Lineage: Eukaryota; Metazoa; Chordata; Mammalia; Artiodactyla; Suidae
Description: lncRNA (ENSSSCG00060050134.1)
Source: RNAcentral
UUGAAGAAACAGUAGCUGAAAAUGUCCCAAAUUGGAUAAAAAUUAUGAAUAUAAACAUGUAAGAAUCUCAGUGAACUCCAGGAAAGAUGAACUCAAAGAGACUCAGACUGAGAUACAAAAGCAGCAGGACAGAAGCAAAUCCUCACACAUGAGGCAUCCUCAAUAAGAUUUUUGGCAGAUUUCUCAUGAGAUAUUUUGGAGGCCAGAAGGCAGUGGCCAAUAUAUUCAAAGUGUUCCAGGGAAAGCUUUGUGAACCAGAAUCCUAUAUCUGGCAAAACUGUCCUCCAAAAGUGAGGGGAAAAUUAAGACAUUCUCCAAUAAACAAAGGCUGAAGGAAUUUUUGCUCUCUAGACCUGAUCUGCAAGAAAUGCCCAGGGGAGCCCUGUAGUAUGAAAUGAAAGGACACUAGACAGGAACAUGAAACCAUAUAGAGAAAUAGAAAUCUCAAUAAAAGUAAAUACAUGGGCAGUUACAAAAGCUGGUUAUACUGUCAAUGGUUUGUAACUGCAUAUUUCGUUUUUGACAUGAUUUCAGAGCCUAAUACAUUUACGGAAAACAAACAAACAAACAAUUAUUAGCCCAAAAUCUAGUAUUAUUGUAACUUUGGUUCGUAACUCCAAGUUUUAUUUUUGAUAUAAUUUGAGACCAAAGAAUUUGAAAGGAUUAUUAGUUUAUGUUUGGAGGCACACAGGGUAUAAAGAUGUGAUUCUGUGGCAUCAACCACCAAAAGGGGAUGUAAAGGAGCAGAGAUUUUGUAUUUUGAAGUUAACCUGUGAUAAAUUCAAAUUAGAGUGUUGUAGUUUGGGAUAUUAAACGUACAUCCCGUGGUACUCACAGAGAAAAGGGCUGGAGAAUAUAAACAAAAGGAAGUGAGAAAAGAAUGUAAAUGUUUUACUACAAAAAAUCACCUAAACAAAACUAAGAUAGUCACGCAGGAAAUGAGGGACAAAAUAGCUGUGGGGCGUGUAGAAAACACAGAGCAAGAUGACAAAAGCAGGUCCUUUCUUGUUAGGAAUUACUUUAUUUCUUUGGCCACGCCUGGGCAUGUGGAAGUUCCCAGGCCAGGGACUGAGCCUGUGCCACAGCAGUAAUCAGAGCCAUAGCAGGGACAAUGCUGGAUCCUUAACCUGCUGAGCCGCCAGAGAAGUCCAGGAAUUACUUUAAAUGUAAGAGGAUUAAGUUCUCUAAUCAAAAGACAGAGACUAGGGAGUUCUUGUUGUGGUUCAGCAGGUUAAGAACCUGACUAGUAUCCAUGAGGAUGCGGAUUUGAUCUCUGGCCUUUCUCAGUGGUUAAGGAUCUGGCAUUGCCAUGAGCCAUGGUGUACGUCACAGAUGUGGCUUGGAUCCUGCGUUGCUAUGGCCAUGGCAUUGGCUGGCAGUUGCAGCUCCAAGUUGACUCCUAGCCUGGGAACCUCCAUAUGCUGCAGGUGUGGCCCUAAAAAGAAAAAAAAAAAAAAAAAAGAGAGAGAGAGAGAGAUAGAGAUUAACAGAAUAGAUAAAAAACGCAUAAUCCAACUAUAUGCUCUCUACAAGAGACGUGACUUUAGAUCCAAAGACACAAAUAGACUGAAAGAGAAAGGAUAGAAGAAGAUAUUCCCUGGACAUAGUAACCGAAAGAGAGCAAAGGUAGCUAUCCUGACAUCAAAGUAGACUCUAAAUCAAGAGAGUUUACAGAUUGCUAGGGUACUAACAGGAGGUAAGGGUGAAAGAAAAGUCAGGCCAGAGAGCACAGAGCCUUCAACAGCAGGCGAGCGUUCUUUGCGCAGCGCGCAGCCUCCGGGCCAUCCAGCCGGAGGAGCCAUCAUCCCAGACCUGAGUGAGAAGAGUGAAUGACCGUGGAGAGGGGAACCCACGGUAUCUCAGAUUACUCAGAGAACAACAGUCCUUUCUCCACAAACAUCCUGGUAUAAAAUAGCCCCAUUAGAGCCUGCCUCUUGAGGUAUGUCUCGACAAGGAAGACAUGAUUUCGGAAAGUAUAAAACGAAAGGCGGAAGCUUGCUCAGCGCUAGCACCUACGGCCCCAACAUAAAAAACAAGCAAAUGUCCCGCUUUUGACCCAGUUGCUUUUGAUCUAAUUGUUUCUUAAGAGAACCAGCAUAGUUUGGCUGUAGAAUGAUAUAAUAAUAAUGGUGAUACUGGAGUUCCCGUCGUGGCACGGUGGUUACCGAAUCCGACUAGGAACCAUGAGGUUGCGGGUUCCAUCCCUGGCCUUGCUCAGUGGGUUAAGGAUCCGGCGUUGCCGUGAGCUGUGGUGUAGGUUGCAGACGUGGCUUCGGAUCCCGCGUUGCUGUGGCUCUGGCGUAGGCCGGUGGCUACAGCUCCGGUUCGACUCCUAGCCUGGGAACCUCCAUAUGCCACGGGAUCGGCCCUAGAAAAAGCAAAAAGACAAAUAAUAAUGAUAAUAAUGGUACUAAUAGUAAUGAAACUAAAUCAACUAUACUGCAAUUUUAAAAAGAAUCAAAAACAAACACAAAAUAAUUACAGUAACCAUUGAAGAAGCACUUGCUAUAAGCCAGGUACCAUAAGACCUUCCUUAUUCAAUACUCACAAGUCCGUGCUGGAGAUUCACUUACUGUCCUCAUUUUGCUGAUAGACGAAUUGAGUCUAAGAGAGGUCUGGGCCAGUAUGCGGCAUUACUUAGAUUAAAACACUGCCUCCUAUUUCAAAAUCACACCCUUACCCAUCGCAUUUUGUGUGCCCAAGCAGUUGUGCUUGGCAGAGAGCACCUAGCACUGCCCCUUGGGGAUGAUGAGGUGACAGGAAAAGAACCGCUUGACUUCUUGAUGCCUUGAUCUGUUCAGCAAUGAAUGGAAAUAAUAACUGCUGCCUCACCCAGCAGAGCCAUGGGAGAUAAGACCUGGCUUUUCCCUUUGAUUUGAGUGCACGAGGCAGGUAGACCACAUCAGCCCACAGCCGUGAAUGGAAAGAAGAGGCCACUUCUGUGUGGUUUUGUGGAUGGCCCGACUGCAGGUGCCUCAUCUAUACAAUGGGCAUAAUAAAAGUAGUAUCUGCCUCCUGGGCCGUCUGUAAGGAUCCAGUGGGUUCAUAGAUGUCCUAUUUAGGACAUGCUUGACCAAUAGCACUAUCUAAAGACCAGCUAUUAUCGGCAUUAAAGGUAGAAACUUGGCUACCAGGGAUCGCUGUGGCCGUAAACAGUAACUUCCAAGUGGAGACAGGAGAGAAGCCUGCACUCACCCUGGCUUCCUCGGUAGGUGUCUAUGAGGAAGACUGGCUAUAAUAUUGGCCAGUGGUAAGCAAAGCUCGAAGAUAUGACAGGGAUGGAGAAAUAAGGUCUAGAAAGUAACAACAGCUUCUAAUUUGUACCAUUUCUAUGCUCAAGCUCCCCAUCAGGAGUACACCAGCUCGGUCUUGCCUCAUCUAAUACCACGGUAGGGGUUUUGUUAUUAACUGAACUUUCACAUGCUGUAUGCGGUGCCCUAAAAAGGUAAAAAAGAAGAAGAGGGAGUUCCUGUCGUGGCUCAGUGGUUAACGAAUCCGACUAGGAACCAUGAGGUUGCGGGUUUGAUCCCUGGUCCUGCUCGGUGGGUUAAGGAUCCGGCAUUGCCGUGAGCUGUGGUGUAGGUCACAGAUGCAGUUUGGAUCCCAUGUUGCUGUGGCUCUGGCGUAGGCUGGUGGCUGCAGCUCUGAUGAGACCCCUAGCCUGGGAACCUCCAUGUGCUGCAGGUGCGGCCCUAAAAAAAAAAAAGACAG